RNAcentral lists this ribosomal RNA (253 nucleotides) under uncultured bacterium. RNAcentral describes it as "partial 16S ribosomal RNA". It matches the Rfam family "Bacterial small subunit ribosomal RNA", at positions 524 to 776 of the family's 1533-position model. The record is from RNAcentral.
UACGAAGGGGGCUAGCGUUGUUCGGAAUCACUGGGCGUAAAGGGUGCGUAGGCUGUGCAGAAAGUUAGGUGUGAAAUCCCCCGGCUCAACCGGGGAAUUGCGCUUAAAACUACUGUGCUAGAGAAAGAUAGAGGUGAGCGGAACUUCGGGUGGAGCGGUGAAAUGCGUUGAUAUCCGAAGGAACACCGGUGGCGAAAGCGGCUCACUGGAUCUUUUCUGACGCUGAUGCACGAAAGCUAGGGGAGCAAACGGG